AUGUGCACCAGCUCCAGAGUAAAGCAUUCAAAUGAGGAUUACCUGUUCAAGUUGUCAUUUUGCAUCUACGCAUGCAUCCUCACCACAAGAAUGCUGGGACCGAGAGAAGGAUUGGCAGGAAAGUUCAAACCGAAAGGACAUUUCCCAACGUUUUUCAAGGAUAGAAACUCAAGAAUUAUACAAAUUCUCCACAGAAGCUGGCAUUUGGAAAAGUCGUCCUUGUCUACAACUAGCAUGUUCAGUACGAGACCCCUGCCUUCCAUAGAGAGGAGCUUCAUCAUUUUUCAUUCAACCUAAAGAUUUCAUCAACAGUUUUGUGCAUCAAUCAUCCAACCACUUGAUGGACAUUCCAUAAAUUAGAGCCCACCACCAAGAACCCUCUGUCCAUGGUGGUGUCGGAUUAAUUUGAAAACUGAUCUUCAAGGAUGAUCUUAAGGUAUGGAUAUGUUCUAGCAACACUGCAAUUAUUUUUUCUGUUACUAAAUUAUAUAGAAGAAUAUUAAUAGUAUGUAAAAGUAAUUCUGUUAUGGUAUAUCAAACAGCAUUUGCAAAACCUAUUUUGAUGUUAUUUUGCCAGCAUGUGUUCCAUUCUUUGAGAGAAUUUUAAGCUGAGCAUAGCCUCACUCCCUGUGGAAAUCUGUCAAGUCACACACAUGAUAGAAUUCAAAGAAUUCAUCACCACAUAAAACCCAUAUGACAGCUCACCAAUCUCAUUUCUAAAGCUGUAGGAUCUGCAUUUACUGGGGUGGUACAAAAAGUCUAAGUGACACCUGUGCCAGAAGUUUGAGUUGUACAAUUUAAGAUGCCCAGUACAGAACACAGUCCAUUAGGUAUGUGUGAUAGCCUAUUCGGUGCCAUAGGAGCACAGGAAAGAAGUUACCAAGCAAUUUUAGAUUAGGCAUCCUUCAGUCCCGAGAGACUACGGUAACAUGCUCUGUAUGGAGGACUUGGAACAGCGUCUAGUGUGGCUGAGAAUGCCAAUUCGAGAGUGACAAUCCCUUCCACGCUGAAGACAAAUACAAUCUGUCCCUUGUCCAGCUCCCUGAUUUUGCUGGUUUUGGGACUGCCUCUUUGCCUCAGCUUUCUACUCUGUCAGAAUAUUGAUCUCUCUAGCUCAGAGAGGGCAGCAUGUCGGGCAUGUUGAAGGCCCUGUCUUCAUCCCCCAUAAUUUGUUACCACCAACAGAUAGGUCCACCAGAAAUCAGGGUCAGUCUCUCUCUCUCUCUCUCUCUCUCUCUCUCUCUUUCUCUCUCUCUUUGUGUGUGUGUGUGCGUGUGUUUAGUUUACAUCCCAUUUUUCUGUUUUGCAGGAACCAAAGGAGCUUACAACCUAAACUUCGAAAAGGUAACAGCUUUUUAAAAACCACAAUAAAUCACAAUAUUUAAUACUUUUCA
RNAcentral lists this long non-coding RNA (1394 nucleotides) under Pogona vitticeps (central bearded dragon). RNAcentral describes it as "lncRNA (ENSPVIG00000011592.1)". The record is from RNAcentral. Lineage: Eukaryota; Metazoa; Chordata; Lepidosauria; Squamata; Agamidae.